CCUGGGAUCAUAUAACAUGCAUAAAUAAAUUUAUGAACAUAGAUCUGAAGUCAAAAAUAGCAAGAAGAAGGUAUACUGGAUCGCUUUUCUUUCUUCCUUCGUCGGAUUGGAUCCUACGAAUCUUUGGGGUUGCUAUCGUAGCCGUGUAAGUAUCCGACCUCUGUUAGGAUCCACACAGAGAUGUCCCGAUCAAAACUCUAAAAUCUCUAAGGUACUAGCUCCUUUGCAGGCUACGUUCUUUGGCUUGAAUCAAGCCACUUUACUUAAUAUCACUUGAAGCAACCCUGUAUAGGAUCCUAGAGAUUGAUCCUAAUCAUCAAAAAAAAAUAAAAAUCUUUUCUUAAUUUUCUUUCUCUCAAAGGCUCUCUCUCAAAUCUCUAUUUGAUGUGGAGUAGAGGCAUGGAAGAGAAGGAAUGAGAGGUGGUUGGCAUGGAGAAGAAAAGGUAAGGUAGUUAGUGCACAAAAAUACUCAGUGAUUUAUCUCACGCCAAAACCCAUCCCCUUAAAUAAUUUUGUCACACAAAAUAUGCUGGUUUCCCAUGCCAACAACUGAUAAGAAUCAGUUUGAAUUAGUUAGACUUUAUCUCUAUCCAAAUAGGUAUCCUUACUAAGCAAGAAACAUCAAGAAAUCACCUCUCCAUACCCCUUCACGCAUGCACAAAAGUAGCGAGAAAAAUCACCGCUCACUCCUCUUUCUAAUCGACCAAAUGGAGAGAGAAGCCCAGAAAACUUAGGCUCUAAAGAUUAGGGUUAAUUUGGUUCAAGUUGGAUCCCAAUCAGAUCUAAAAUGAGUCUGAAUCGAAUCAAAUUCGAAAGACUGUCAAACCUGAUCCAAUCAUGCUUGAAAUUCAAAUCUGAUUUGGAUAAUUGAACUCAAUUAACAUUAAAUUAAAUCAAAUAUAAUUAAAUUAAAUCUAAUUUAAAUUAAUUAAGAUUUGAUUCAUAAUUUAAUUAGUCCCAAUUAAAUCAUAAUAUUUGUAAUUAAGUCUCUGUGCUAACAAUUAGCAGUUAUUGAAUCUAUAACACUGACAAAUUAGUAAUUUUCAAAUUCAAACUAUCAAUCAAAUUGAUAAUUUAAAUUUAAUCCAAGCCAUUAAUCAGGUCAAACUCUUUUUGUUGUAACCCCUCAGGCUCUAUUCUAUCUAGUAGUGAGACAUACCAUGAUCUCCAUCACAGUAUCAUCGAAACUCCUUUCGUUGGACCAGAAUAAUUCUAGCUUACCCCAACAAGGAUUGUUGAUCCAAAAAUGAUCUUAGUGAGUUCUCACAAUCCACCAGUGAUGCCUAGCAACAUGUAGUAACAAUCCAGCAGAACAGAAAAUAUAAACCCGUAGAUGUAGUUAUCGUGUGAUUCAGUUCCUCUAUCGUGAGUCUUGACUUGAUGAAGGUCAUGGAG
RNAcentral lists this long non-coding RNA (1395 nucleotides) under Elaeis guineensis (African oil palm). RNAcentral's name for it is "long non-coding RNA (EGUI_LNC049703)". The record is from RNAcentral. Lineage: Eukaryota; Viridiplantae; Streptophyta; Magnoliopsida; Arecales; Arecaceae.